AACCUCCAGAAUCCUUACUCCUCAUAUCUAAAUAUUGGUCUAAGGGACUGCAAAAGGCAAAAAAGUAAACUUGAAGUGGACCUGGAAUUUUUAGUGACAAACACGCUCAUUUAAAAAAAAA
This 121-nucleotide small nucleolar RNA is filed under the name Echinops telfairi (small Madagascar hedgehog). RNAcentral describes it as "Small nucleolar RNA SNORA61 (ENSETEG00000025704.1)". The record is from RNAcentral. Lineage: Eukaryota; Metazoa; Chordata; Mammalia; Afrosoricida; Tenrecidae.